This is a long non-coding RNA of Triticum dicoccoides, 1623 nucleotides long. RefSeq lists it as uncharacterized. The transcript has 4 exons. NCBI's taxonomy places the organism in Eukaryota, Viridiplantae, Streptophyta, Magnoliopsida, Poales, Poaceae. The record is from RefSeq and is a predicted model, not a curated record.
CCACCGGUUGGAAGCCAUUCUUGCUUGGGUGAUGAUGAUUAACCGUGGUUGAAAUAAAUGUGCCUUUGAGCAAUCGAGAAACCUGUGGGUAUCAAGUUGGAUCCUCCCUCUUGUCUCUAGAAUCCUUUUUGAUCUUGUGAUACUUAUUGUUCUGUCCUUGGAUGGUCAUUCUUAUUGAGUGAUAACCAGGACAACUCCAAUGUAUAAAUAGAUUGAUCUGGUGAUAAGAGAUGACGGGGGUAGGUUAUGUGAUCGAGGAAAGGCAAAUCUGAGCCCACUAUGCAUUGAACCCUGAACCCUUUUUAUUUGUGUUUAAAGGUGUUGCUUAUUUAUUCUCCAGUGUUUAUAGCCAUCUUAUGUAAAUAUUUCUUCUCUUUGAUACCUUUAUUGCGUAUGAGUUGUUUUUUCAUCUUUUAUUGUUUGUUGUUGGUCCUUGAUUUAAUCUGGUUAAGAGUAAGUUGCACUUUGUUAUUAUGGGAUAAACGAUGGUUUGGCAAUGCUAUUGGUUCUUCAUGAGUUCAGAGGAGGAUUUCUGAUAUUAUUUUAUUGUUAAAUAGUCAUGAUAGUAAGAUUCUUGUAUCUGUUCGCCGUGAGGAGCAAUGGGGCAUUGCACGCUUAUGUGUACUGCUACCUGAUUAUGGUUGGUCUUUUGUAUAAAGGCCUUGCUAUAAUUUUUAUAGUCCUUCUUCCCUAAGGUGUAUUAUGAAUGUUUUUCCGAGCUAUGGAAUGUAUUCCUAAUCCUGAUCUAUAGAACUGCCUUUCUGAACUUGAUGUCUAAGUUCUACUGGACAAUGCUUAUUUGGAUAGACGCUCAUGGGUUAAGUUAUUUGAUGCAUUGCUUUCACUAUCAAAUUGUUCGCUACUUUGAGGAUUUGGCUGCAUACUGUAUUGUUUUGUAUUUGGUGGACUGGACCAAGAGCGCACAGAGGGAGAUCUUCUCUGCCGCACUGACAACAGCAAUAGAGAAAAUCCAGUCCACGGUGCCACCAAUGAGAAAGAACAUAGUCAAAUUCUGUGACACACACACAACCAAGACAUACCAUUGGACUGUACAGGAAUAAUGGGAUGCCGUCAUUUGUUACUCGACCUAGCCUUGCUGCUUGAGCAAGUUGCCCCUGGUUUGGUUCCCUGAUGCGCACCGGUGGUGCGCGAUAGAGUGUGCACGGGGGAUUCUUCUUCCACUCUGAUGCCUCCCGCCCUGCCCCUCCGGUGGCAUCAGUUCCUCUUUCAGUUCUGCAUCUCUGCUGGUUGGUCGGCCGGUGCGGCGCAAAUCUGGUUCGACGAGGUCGUUGACGACCUGCUGCGGGAGUGGGACAAUGGGAUCAGCUCCGGGAGGUCCGGGGCACGCUGUUGCCGCUCGUGUAGCAGAAGUCUAACUGCUCCGAGGUGAUGAUUUCCCUGGUUAUUACUCACUCGGUGAUGUUCUGAACCACAAUGGUGUUGUUGCCUCGACAAUGAGUUCCUCAACUUACGUGACUGAUGAGCUGGGGCGUGAAGAUCAUGGCUCUUAUGAUUUGUAUACAGACCUUACUACUGUAUUGUACUGGGGUAGAAUGCCUCUAUGAAGGUGUUUUGACCCUCUAUGAAUGCUUAUUUUUAUGUUGUACAUUAUUUGUAGUCGGA